Molecule: long non-coding RNA, 1321 nt
Filed under: Felis catus (domestic cat)
Lineage: Eukaryota; Metazoa; Chordata; Mammalia; Carnivora; Felidae
Description: lncRNA (ENSFCAG00000049185.1)
Source: RNAcentral
AAAAAUUUUAAAUAAAAACAAAAAAAAGAAGCCUAAAUUUUCAUCCCAAUUGACUUUGCCUCCUCCCAGCCAGGAGACCUGGGCGCGUCAAUAAACCUGCUUCCCGUCUGUACGAUGGGGAUAUUAACGUUCCCUGCUUCCUUCGGUCGUUGUGAUAGCUCAGUAAGUGAACACCCACAUUGCUUAGUACACAGGGAGUGCUCUCUCAACACCGGGUGCUCUGAUGCCCCGGACCAGGGGCCGAGCCCCUGGACAGACUUGAUUUCUUACAAAUAAUCUGGCAUUGCAGUAGCGGCCUGACCUGCUUAGGGGAGAGAGGGUGACCUUGCAGGCAGCCCCACCUGGUCUGCUGAGUCUCCCUGGGACACCAGUGACACCCUGCCUCCACUUGUUACACUGGGUGAGCUCUCCCUCCGCCAGGGCCCCUCUCUGGCUGGUCUGCCCAACCACAGGACAAUCAGGCUUUCGGCCAGGCAGUUACAGUAAGUCAGGCCCGCCCUUCCUCACAUGGGGUACCCACCAAGCCUGGGGCCAGAGCCUCUGGCUUCCCAUAGAGGAGGGGAAGGGGGGGGAUGGAGAGGCCCUUCCUUGCCAGGUGCGCUGUUAACCCCCACCCCCAGAACAUGCUGCUGGUCUUUCCCAGUGAUUUCCAGGGGCUGCCUUGUCCUGGCAACCACCAGGCCCAAGCUGCAAAGGGCAGCUGAAACAGCAAAUGAUGUUCAGAAAGAGGCUGACUCACUCCAGCCAGGCUGCGCCCUCCGUGAAUACUGUUGGACCUCAGCCUGGGAUUCCCGCAGGUUCGGACAACAAGUUGGACCAUCCUCUUGGAGGAGGCACGUUCCAAGGAUCGCGCCAGGGGCGCCUGGGUGGCUCCGUCCGUUAGGCAGUUAAGAGACUGCCUUCAGCUCAGGCCAUGAUCUCACCGUUCUUGAGUUCGAGCCCCGCGUCGGACUCUGUGCGGACAGCCUGGAACCUGCUCUGGAUUCUGUGUCGCCCUCUCUCUCUGCCCCUCCCCCGCUCACACUCUGGCUCUCUCCCUCUCAAAAAUAAGUAUUUUUUUUUAAUUUUUUUUAACGUUUAUUUAUUUCGGAGACAGAGACAGAGCAUGAACGGGGGAGGGGCAGAGAGAGAGGGAGACACAGAAUCGGAAACAGGCUCCAGGCUCUGAGCCAUCAGCCCAGAGCCCGAUGCGGGGCUCGAACUCCCGGACCGCGAGAUCGUGACCUGAGCUGAAGUCGGACGCUUAACCAACUGCGCCACCCAGGCGCCCCCAAAAUAAGUAUUUUUAAAAAUGUUUAAAAUAAAAAAAAUUAAAGGGUCA